CUACGGGUCGCUGCAGUGAGGAAUAUUGCACAAUGGGGGAACCCUGAUGCAGCAACGCCGCGUGGAGGAUGACGCAUUUCGGUGUGUAAACUCCUUUUAUAUGUCAAGAAAAUGACGGUAGCAUAUGAAUAAGCACCGGCUAACUCCGUGCCAGCAGCCGCGGUAAUACGGAGGGUGCAAGCGUUACUCGGAAUCACUGGGCGUAAAGGACGCGUAGGCGGGUUGGAAAGUCAGGUGUGAAAUCCUACAGCUUAACUGUAGAACUGCACUUGAAACUUCUAAUCUAGAGUAUGGGAGAGGGAGAUGGAAUUAGUGGUGUAGGGGUAAAAUCCGUAGAUAUCACUAGGAAUACCUAAAGCGAAGGCGAUCUCCUGGAACAUUACUGACGCUAAGGCGUGAAAGCGUGGGGAGCAAACAGGAUUAGAUACCCUUGUAGUC
This 438-nucleotide ribosomal RNA is filed under the name uncultured bacterium. RNAcentral describes it as "partial 16S ribosomal RNA". It matches the Rfam family "Bacterial small subunit ribosomal RNA", at positions 339 to 795 of the family's 1533-position model. The record is from RNAcentral.